UGCUUCAGGAAUACGGUAUGGGGGUUGUCGUAGUGGGUUCUGUCCGGGUGUCUCGACCUUGUGUACAGCUAGGGUAGUGUACCCGGGUUCUUGGGAGAACGUCGCCUGUUUCUCCCACAGUAACUGUCUCGCCUGUACCUUCUCUGCCGGGUUUAGCCGGUCCCCUAGCUGUACAAGACUAGUAAGGUCUGUCUGGGGGUCCCUCUCUAGCAAGUCAGGUAACGGUAAGUUCUCGGGAUCGUCAGAAGCUGGGGCACAUACUGCUGCAACAUCCUCUGGUCGUUCUUGAUACUCCUUCAGCAUGUUCACAUGGAAGGAUCGCUGAAUCCUUUCAUCUGAACAGCUGGCUAUAAGGUAGGUAGUAUCACAUACCUGAGCUAACACUUUAUACGGGCCCUGCCAAGAUGCU
Molecule: non-coding RNA, 409 nt
Organism: Pelobates cultripes (western spadefoot toad)
Lineage: Eukaryota; Metazoa; Chordata; Amphibia; Anura; Pelobatidae
Source: the annotation of a GenBank genome assembly